GCCUUCGUGGUAUAGCGGUCAGCACGCUCGACGCGUAUUCGAGAGGUCCGUGGUUCGAGUCCCGGCGAAGGCG
Molecule: transfer RNA, 73 nt
Filed under: Stegodyphus mimosarum
Lineage: Eukaryota; Metazoa; Arthropoda; Arachnida; Araneae; Eresidae
Rfam family: tRNA
About the family: Transfer RNA (tRNA) molecules are approximately 80 nucleotides in length. Their secondary structure includes four short double-helical elements and three loops (D, anti-codon, and T loops).
Source: Rfam by way of RNAcentral